RNAcentral lists this ribosomal RNA (410 nucleotides) under Clostridioides difficile. RNAcentral's name for it is "bacterial SSU rRNA". It matches the Rfam family "Bacterial small subunit ribosomal RNA", at positions 841 to 1250 of the family's 1533-position model. Lineage: Bacteria; Bacillati; Bacillota; Clostridia; Peptostreptococcales; Peptostreptococcaceae. The record is from RNAcentral.
CGGUGCCGCAGCUAUCGCAUUAAGUACUCCGCCUGGGAAGUACGCGCGCAAGAGUGAAACUCAAAGGAAGUGACGGGGACCCGCACAAGUAGCGGAGCAUGUGGUUUAAUUCGAAGCAACGCGAAGAACCUUACCUAAGCUUGACAUCCCAAUGACAUCUCCUUAAUCGGAGAGUUCCCUUCGGGGACAUUGGUGACAGGUGGUGCAUGGUUGUCGUCAGCUCGUGUCGUGAGAUGUUGGGUUAAGUCCCGCAACGAGCGCAACCCUUGUCUUUAGUUGCCAUCAUUAAGUUGGGCACUCUAGAGAGACUGCCAGGGAUAACCUGGAGGAAGGUGGGGAUGACGUAAAAUCAUCAUGCCCCUUAUGCUUAGGGCUACACACGUGCUACAAUGGGUAGUACAGAGGGUUGC